AGUCAAUAGAUACCCCGGUAGUCCACGCCGUAAACGAUGAGUACUAGGUGUAGGAGGUAUCGACUCCUUCUGUGCCGCAGUUAAACACAAUAAGUACUCCGCCUGGGAAGUACGGUCGCAAGAUUAAAACCCAAAGGAAUUGACGGGGGCCCGGCACAAGCAGCGGAGCAUGUGGUUUAAAUUUCGAAGCAACGCGAAGAACCUUACCUAGACUUGACAUCUCCUGAAUAGUGUAGAGAUACAUGAAGCCCUUCGGGGUCGAGGAAGACAGGUGGUGCAUGGUUGUCGUCAGCUCGUGUCGUGAGAUGUUGGG
RNAcentral lists this ribosomal RNA (313 nucleotides) under uncultured bacterium. RNAcentral's name for it is "bacterial SSU rRNA". It matches the Rfam family "Bacterial small subunit ribosomal RNA", at positions 775 to 1079 of the family's 1533-position model. The record is from RNAcentral.